RNAcentral lists this ribosomal RNA (817 nucleotides) under Kalophrynus heterochirus (Borneo grainy frog). RNAcentral's name for it is "partial 16S rRNA". It matches the Rfam family "Bacterial large subunit ribosomal RNA", at positions 1240 to 2574 of the family's 2925-position model. Lineage: Eukaryota; Metazoa; Chordata; Amphibia; Anura; Microhylidae. The record is from RNAcentral.
CUCCACAAGCCUCCAAAACCCUUAUUUCCUACUGAAUGACUCCAUAUAACUAUGGAAAACCUUCUGCUAGAACUAGUAAUAAGAAGAAGACCUUCUCCCUAAAUGUGAAUAUAAACCGGAACGAACAACUCACCGGAACCUACCGCUAAUGAAAAAAUUAUAACAACUUCACAAGAAAAAACUAUUCCACUAAGCGUUAACCUUACACAAGAACAUUUCAGGAAAGAUUAACAAAACGGGAAGGAACUCGGCAAACAACUAACCCCGCCUGUUUACCAAAAACAUCGCCUUGUGAUUAAAUAUACAAGGUCUCGCCUGCCCAGUGAUUCAUUUCAACGGCCGCGGUACCCUAACCGUGCAAAGGUAGCCACAAUCACUUGUUCCUUAAAUAGCGACUAGUAUGAAGGCCAUCACGAGGGUUAUUCUGUCUCCCCCUUUUAAUCCAUGAAACUGAUCUCCCCGUGAAGAAGCGAGGAUAUUAAUAUAAGACGAGAAGACCCCAUGGAGCUUUAAACUCAGAAACACCUGCUAUUUUUUAACCAAAUUAACCAAGCUUCCCUGAUUUCUAGUUUUCGGUUGGGGUGACCACGGAGCACAACACAACCUCCUUGAUGAACGGAACUAGUUUCCUUAUUUAAGAACUACAGCUCUAAAAAUCAACACAUUGACAAAAAUUGAUCCAAAUAAUUUGAUCAACGAACCAAGUUACCCUGGGGAUAACAGCGCAAUCCAUUUCAAGAGCCCAUAUCGACAAAUGGGUUUACCACCUCCAUGUUGGAUCAGGGUAUCCCAGUGGUGCAACCGCUACUAAAGGUUC